Molecule: long non-coding RNA, 9767 nt
Organism: Toxorhynchites rutilus septentrionalis
Lineage: Eukaryota; Metazoa; Arthropoda; Insecta; Diptera; Culicidae
Exons: 4
Source: RefSeq, a predicted model, not a curated record
UGGCAAACGCAAUAGCUAAACAGGAAGGUUUAACCGAACAAGAUGGGAAUAUCGAGUGAUAACAAAAACACAACACCAAAGUUCUUUUCAGAACCAUCAACAUAUUCAUAAAGAGUAAACAGUAAACUAAUCCAUUUUUCAGGUAGAUAGGUAGGUAUUCACGUAGGAGAAGAAAAUAAAACAAUAUAUUUAAAAUAUAUAUUUAACAAAAGCUGUCCCCUUUGUAUAGCCCUACGUCACUCCGGUUAUGUCCCCGACAUUAUCCACCCGUCUUUUUUUGGAGCAGCAUUAUUUUAUUCUAUUCACUUGUAAAUCGCUCCUGAUAUCAUAGAAUAAUGUAUCGAAAUUUUAGAAACAUCUCUUUAGUAGUUUGCUUUGAUUGCCAAUGCUCGGAAUUUCUUCAUAUUACGUCAGCUUAUGAAGGGAUCUAUUGCGGACAUUCCCCCGCAAACCGAUUUCAAAAAUCUUGAUUUGGCUAAGAGCUUUGAGCAUAGAAGUAAAACAACUCAAACUCGAGUACCCGAGAUGCCUAGGUAUUAAUUUGGCACCCCAUUUUUUUUAUUUUUUCAAAUUAAAAGAAUCAUUCUGAAAUCACUGAAAAAUGUAUUUUUUGACAUUUUCAUACAAAAUAGAAGUGGAGUACACUAUCUUACGUAAAUUAACUAAAUUUUGACGAAAAAGCAUGCAACUUUACAAAACAAAGAGGAACAAAAAAAAAUGAUUUUUUCAAGAAAAAGUGAAAAAAAUUCAUCUCGAUUUAUUUCUAGCUAAACAAAUAAAACGCAAGCGUAGUAAUCAGUCUCGCAAUCGGUGCAGGCGGAAUGGGCCCAUGGAUUACGUUUACAUUGGGGUGCCAAAUUACCCGCAUACCGAAUUUUCUCUUUGGAAUGAAAUCUAUGAAAUUUGUAAUUAAAAUCUCGAUACACUUACUCGAAUUUGUUGAAGAACAUCAAUUUCUUGAUCCAAAUCAGCUUUAAUAAUUGAAAUCGGCUCACUAUUCGAUUUUUAAUUAUUUUUCAUGAAAAAUUUUCGAGAUUUCAAAAACAACAAAACUUGAAUUUUUUGUUAAAAACACAGAUAUUUUGGGUUUUUGGCAUCUGACGUUUGUUACUAUAUUACUAGAACACUUUUUGACGUAGGACUACGUCUAACCGGAAGAUAUAGGGGGUGAAAUGAAAAUCUAGGCACUGAACAAGUAGGAAAAAAUGCAAGAUUUGGAACGCUUAUAACUCGAGCAUUUCUCAAUAGAUCGCAAAGGUUUUUGCAUCAAUUGAUAGGAAAUAUAUCUACGCAUCUAUCAUAACGAAUAACAUUUCAUUUUUCUUGAGAUAAAUAAUUGAUUAAUUGUGAAAUAUCAAGCAUUGUCCAAAUGCACUAUGUGCCCAUUUUUGAUUGGUCCAUUUUGUGCUCCUCAAAUCGUACCGACCAAAACGGGCAACCACAGCAGCAGCGAAAUACAAUGAAGCACGAUUGGAAAGGAAAAAGAAAAAAUAUGAACGAAACAUUGGUCGCAGUCUCACACAUGUGUAAUUCUCGAGCCAGCCAGUCAGCUUAAAAAUCCCCGCUUCGCUGCCGUAACGAUCAUUCUCAUUCAAACCGUACACCACAUCAGUUCAGAGAAGUUCGUACAUUUAACGCGACGUGCCGAAGUUCCGCUCAGUGUCGCAUUGGAGGCUAUUUUAACCUGUAAUUGAACAUUUGCGAUGACAGUGGUACAGUGUCGACUUUCAAUGUGGGGUCAUAAUUUGUACCCCGAACUCUAUGUUUACAAAAAUGUCCAACUAAAUAUGUCGCAUUACUGGUCCGUCAAAUUAGCUAAAUGUCGAGCUAAAUGUAAAUUACUGUACUUUCAAUCUAGAAGCAAUUUAAGAAUUGAUGAAAAUUGAAUAAUCAGGAAAGUCCCCAACCAUCAAUAAGCUCAGCACAACUGCCAAAUUCUCAUACUCAUCAUUUACUGUACAACAUGUCACAAGCAGGAUGGGAGAAAUUUUCCAACUGUGAAGGCUGUGGCGAGUGGCAAUCGCUAAACAGGAAGGUUUAGCCGAACAAGAUGGGGAUAUCGAGUUAUAACAAAACAAUAAACUCUUUAGAUUAAAGAUAAUUUUGUGAUCCUGAAAAGGGCCCCUUUUAGCCGGUAUGUGAAUCCAACGAGCGAACAAAUCGUAAUGAAUGUAUUUUUUUUUGUCAUCGCUGCCUUUUAACGCUCAUUCGUUCGUCUCGUUGGGCUCGGCCCUUUGGCUGAGUCUGCCGAUUUGUCUCUAUCCUGUGAGCGUGUACCGCUAAAGUACAAGGAAGGAAGGAAGGUCUUGUAUUAUAGAGACUUUAAACUUUUGCAGUUCAUUCGUCUCUAGCCUUGAGAAAGGCCCUUUGAAAACUCUACUCACCGACUGGACAACAUCGUUACUGGACGGCGAGGGAUCGAGUGCCUUUCUCAAGGCAAGAGGGCGGAGGUGGUAGCGCUGGAGUAGAGUAAUAGAGUAGAGUAGAGUUUUCAAAGGGCCUUUCUCAAGGCUAGAGACGAAUGAACGGCAAAAGUUUAAAGUCUCUAUUAUACAAGACCUUCCUUCCUUCAAACCAUAAAUCAGUGUGGUUGUAUGGCAUCGUUUCACAUCACAUCGCAACAAUGGAUUGGUGCCGGAGCACCAGUAAACCUAAUAGUGGUUAUAAAAUUUCGGCCGCCGGAGUGCUCGAGUUGGCUUGCAAAGCUGCUCACGACAAUAAGAAAACCCGCCUACAGAACAGAGCACAUUUGAUUCGGUGGCAACAACUAGUUUCAGCGAGUGGCAAACGCAAUCGCAAAACGGCAGCAGCUAAAAAAAGGAAAAAGUUUGUUUAUACAGACUGCUUUGGUGGAAAAACCAGCCACCGUAAAGCACGGCGCUUUUCAGGGCCAUUAAACCUUUCAAAGAAGAGUUAUUAAAAGUUAUUUACAAUACCAAUGCAUUCUAAAGUGACAUAAUAUGAUAUAUAAUAUGAUCUGAUUUAUUUUGUUUAUGCUUGUUUUUGUACUUAUUGGUGGUUGGGGUCUUUUAAGUAGAUCAUUAAGUUUUCACAAACCCAUGCAUUGUUCCCGAAUUGAAAGUGGCUUCAAAUUACAACACAUUGGAUGCAGGAUGGCAUCAACGAAUUUUCUCGGUAGCAAGAACUGCUUUCUUUGGUUGAUAACUGAUGUUGAAAAUUGACUGAGGUUACAUCUGCAUUGUAUAGAAACAUAACUAAGGAGCAACAUGAUGAGCUAUGUAUUUCCUGCUGCUCUGUUCUUAUUUUAAAGAACUUCAAUCCGAAGGUCAUCCGUCCCUGUAUUCACUGUUGGUUUUUCAGAACGCUUAUAGCUCAUCUAUUUCUCGACAGAUCGUAGAGUUCGUCUCCAAAACCUCAGUUCUUUUUCAUUUUUAUUUACUUUGUUUGCGGAGACUACAAAUCUUACAAUUCAUUCGUUUCCGAAACGAAAAGUUUAAGGUACGGUAAUGUGCUCAAUAGUGAAAUAUAUGAUAGUGAAUAAGCUGAGGACCACUAUGCAUUCCCUAUCAUAGCCAUCAUUUUGAUUGUACGAUAUGUACAUACGCCAAAAGAUGCCCGGCGUUGAACAUUUAAUAAGUACAAAGCCUUCAGAAAAAUAUCAAGAAGCAAUUAUAAGAUAGUGAGAAAAAAUUGAGAAUGUUUGUAAAAAAAAACGCAUAAACACAACAUCAAAGGUUCUUUUCAGAACCUUCAACAUGUUCAUAAAGAGUAAACAGUAAACUAAUCCAUUUAUCAGUUAGUCACGUAGGAGAAGAAAAUAAAACAAUAUAUUUAAAAUAUAUAUUUAGCAAAAGCUGUCCCCUUUGUAUAGUCCUACGUCACUCCGGUUAUGUCCUCGACAUUACCCACUCGUCUUUUUUUUUUAUUCACCAGCAGAGUUCGCUCAUUACCGCAGGAGAUCCGGGUGGGUACCAAAUUACCCACGGUGUACCGAGUUUGUACCAAUUCCUCUACAACUCCACCUGCGAAUGACGGAUCUUUUUUUGUGAAAAGUGGUAGUUUAUAUUUUUAUUUUCUGAGCUAGUUUUCUUUGAAAAGAAUAUUACAUUUGCAAAAAAAAUUGUAAUGGGUUGUAUCUAAGACACGACCGCAGUUUUCGGCGUAGAACUACGGAAUUAUAUUAUUCGAUCCACUUGUUUAUCACUUCGGAUAUUAUUAGUGUAGUGUAGAGAAUUCAUCGAAAUUUUUGUAGUAUUUUUUAGCUACUUACUUUUUAUCCACUUCAGUAGAAUCGAAAGAGUCGAGUAGAGUCGAAAGCUAUCAGCACUUCUCGUUUAUUUGGUUCAACUCGUAUCAGACUUUCUCCUUCCCACUCAGAUAUCGAUCACAAACUAUCAACCCUUUUGCUCCUAUAUUCCGCUUGAGAUGUGAUCGAAUCCCACAACAUGCAACAGUAAGGUUACCCUACUGGAAUUUGAAAGCAUACUUUCAUGAAAUAUACGUUUAUCUGAAUAAAUGCAGUGUAUAUCUAAAUCCCGGUUUCUGGAUACUCUUCCACAUCCGCACCAGCACAAAAGAUCCUCGUAUGCUGCUAUUCUUUGUCGUAGCGCACUUCGAUAUAGAGGGCUUCCUCUCCUUGUAUCGAGCUGUGUGUGUGUGUCAGCAUUAGACAUGAAUGAUAUUCGCUCGUUGUGUUAUGCUAACUAACUCGCAUCUGAGUUUUAAUUCUAUUCUAUUUUUGGUUUCCGCCUCUAGCCCUGCGAAAGGCCUUGUGGAAAAAAACUAUAUUUCAUACUCCUCCUUCACCCGGCAAGAAAACAAUCCUCUCCCGCUCGCCGCUCUGCGGCAACCAUAUUGCUUCGAUGACCACCAAACGAGAAGUGGUGUGGCUUCAAAUCGCGGUUAGCUUACGGAUGUAUCGGUUGCUCAUUUUUGACAGCUCUGUUCGGGAAUGCACUCAAAUCGGCAGAACAAAUGUUUGGCAAAAUGGGAAUGCUUCCAGCUUUCAUUAAUUACUGUUUAGGCAUUAAUGAAUUAUACUGUAUAGUAUAUCAAACGAAUCUUAGAGAAUUUCCGAUUCCAUUGGUGUGCAAAGUAUCAGAUUUUGUCCGCCGUGAAAAUAGUUAUUAACGUUAACUUUUUCUCACAAAAACGUGACGAAAACGUUUUUUGAUUUGGCACCCUUCAUGAAAGCCGUAGUUCUACGUCAAAAAAAUUGAUUUUAUUUUCGUAAUUAUUUAUUAUUUUGGUUUUUAUAGUUUACAGGGCUUUGGACUAGAGAGCGCUAGAUGUUUUUAUAUUUUUUUCUAGAAAGCUGAGUUUUUUUACACGCUACUGAUGCGUAUCGUUAAGUUAGUAGCAUCUUUUGGAAGAACACACCAAGUUUCAGUUAGAUCGGUCUGUUGCUUCGUCUGAAUCGAGGAAAUCGAGCGAUUUGUUCCAUUACGACAACCCUCAACCGAGGGUUGCGAGGUGAACUUAGGACUACCAUUGGCUUAACAAUCAAUAAGUAUCACACUUUUAGCCAUUUCAUCUUUCGAAUAAAGUGAUUAUCAUACCACUUCCUUAAGCCGGAUAAUUAUUACAUUAUAUGUUAUUAACACAUUUCGUUGGAACACAAAUAGUUAGAAUUUCAACAAGAUACAUUCAUACAUUGUUGAAUGCUUUGAAUAAAGUAUAUUUAACGUCAAUUUCGUUCAGAAAAGUUAUUUGUUUAUUUAUUGUGCUUCAAUAUGAUAAUUUCAACUGUCCAGUUAUAAAACCGUUUGAAAAUUCAAUGUUAUUCAAUGUGUUAUCAAUGCAAAAUUAAAAACGAUCGACUGAUUCAAAUAUCAAUAAUUAGCAACCUGAAAUGGCAAGGUUAACUAAUUAUGCCAAUAACCUGGACAAUUCGUGUUGUCAUACUAUUUACCUAAUUCUGCUUAACGGAUUUCUCGAUAUUUUUCCAUGUUUUCGAAAUUGCGACCUUGAGCUCUUCAAUCUUGGUGUACCGUUUUACCUUAGUGUAAAUUCUGCGUACAAGGAUCCCCAUAAUAUUUGUAACAGAAUUCAAGUCUGGAGAGCGAGCCGGCGAAUCCGAAAAAUUGAGUUUUUGAUCGCUAAUCCAUUGCUCAGUUUCCUUGCUGGUAUGAAUAGUAGGCAUUGUUUUGCUGGAAUGUGAUUUUUUUGUGACGAUAUACAUGCAUAAUCGGUAGGAGAAAGGAUUCCAAAAUAUGUAUGUAAUUCGGUUGCACAGAAUCCCGCCCAAACCAUGCACGAGCCUUCACCGAAAUUCCUGGUUGAAAAAUACUCAUACUUCUUCCGUAAAUCACGCCAGUAUCCGUUGAAACCAUCAGGCCCAUCCAAAUUGAACAUGUUUUCGCCGCCGAAAAUAACCUAUACAUUGAACAACUUUUCGUUAUGGUAUAUAGCAAAAUUUAUUCUUUUGGGAUGAUUCUUUGUCACAACAUACCAUGUCCCAUGGUCGGUUCAUGUGAGCUUUGGGAAAACUCAGGCGUCUUCCGAUGUGAGAUAGUGUAAUAUGAGAAGCUUUAACCUUUUAUCCCGUUUUCAUGUGAAGAUUUUUUACCAAAAAUUGACGAAUUGUCACCCGAAUAACAUUUGAAAUGAUUUUGAGGUUUUCGAAGCUGUUCUAGCGAUUUCCUGCUUAUCCCAGUCAGGGAGCUUCGAUAUCUGUGGAAAUCUCUCCUCCUUACCGUAUCCUUGAGGAAUCACCAAAUAAUUGAGCUCUACUUGAUGGAAUCAUCCAAUCCGACGAGCAAUUUCUCUGAUACCAACAUUAUCUUGGUAAAGUGCAUCAAUUUGUCUUUCUUCUCUCUCCGUGAGCACUUUUUCCUUCGUCAUUUUUCAGAUAUAUUAAUAGAAACCACAAAAACAACAGAAAAUGUAACUGGUCUUGUAGAAGUACAAAAACAUUUGUUUACGCUCAGCGUUUGUACACACACAUAUGAAAAUCAUACAAUGUAUGGUAGUCACCAAUACCUACACACUAGAUUAUAAAUUGAAGCAAUGUUUGUUUGCAAUGACACAAAGAAAUAAGAUCAUCACCUAGUCUCAUAGAAGUUGGACAGAGUGUACAUUUCACCUUUUGAAUAAAAUGAUUACCAUACCAUUUCGUUUAGCUGGAAUAUAAUUAUUAACGCUCAAAGGAGGAAUCGAUUUCAUCUCGGAAAUACCUUUGCACAAAUAAUACUCCCUUCCCGCCAAUUGGGAUCAUCGAUCGAUUGUGGCAUUCGUCAACAAAUGAUACUACAACUGCAGCCUUCAUCAAACAAUGGGCCUGAUUUUCGAAUACACUUCACGGUGGGAACGAAAUAAACGGCACGCCAUUGAGCUACGUUUUACGAGUUAGUGAAGUGUCGAAGAUAAUAAUGAGUUUUCAGGCAGAAUGAGCACUUUUCAAAUAAAAAAUCAUUAAUGAAAAUUAACUUCUUCGUAUCAGACUGGUGAUGUGGUUAAUGUGAGUGGAAAACUUUGUUUUCUUCAUGUGAUAUAAUAAUCUCAUACAAAAAUGUCAUCUGAAGAUAAUUUGAUAUUAUAAUGAUAAGUUUAGUGGGAAACUAAUCUAGUAUCCAGAUGUCGACACCGUACCGUUGUUAUCGCGGAUACGUUUCAUUCCGUUUCCAAUGUGGUUUCUUUGAUAUGGUGUAAUAUCCACUACACAUAACACAUAUACAUCCACUAUUUCAUAUUUUACAGUAUCGAAUCCAUAGCCAAUGUCACCAUUUGUACACAAUCUAUAUCUAACUGUCAUCGAUAAUUCAUGUUUGGCGGAGUGCUCCAUUCAGUCCGGCUGUACAAAUGCAUAGGCGUGCGAGCGUGACCAUCCUCAUCUCACAUCACAAUUACAACUAAGUGGAUUUCCGAGCGAGUGCCAGUUAAUAUACAGAUUUGUGUGAUUUCAUAGAACUGUUUCCAAGUCAAUUUUCAACCUGUUGAAACAAUUUUUCGAGUUAAUAAGUAACAAUCAUAUAAAUCUUAGACAUUUUAUCUUUCGAAUGAAGUGAUUUUCAUACCACUUUGUUCAGUCGUCAGAGUUAUUAACGUUCAAAAUCUUGUACUCCAAGUGUCACGCUCUCGUUUUCGAAAAUUUCGAAACUUACACCCCGAUAUACACUGGAGAAAAACUUUAGUAAAUGCAGCUACCAAAUCUUUAGUAGUCGAAACAUUUUUAAAAUGUACAAAUUUUUUGUAAAUAUUACAAAAACUUUGUUAAACUGAUGUCAGAUGCAAUGUACACCCCUACCAAUGAUUCGUACAUUUUACUUCAUAGCAUAUGUAACCUUGAGUAAUUUCAUUUCUGGCAACUGUGUGUAUGCAACCGCCAUUUCUCUAAUGGAAGCGAAGCGAUACCGAGCUUAAAAUCGUAGAAAUCUAUAGCAACGGUUUCACGCAGCCAUCGCAACCAACAGCAGCAAUUGACCGCCUCUCGAUCGAUUCGUUGUUCCAGGAAACGAUGAAUAUCAGUUGGGCCAAUCGUACCGUCAGCAGCAAGGAAACCAACAACAACCGUUUUACACUGAGCAAUCAACAGCGACCGAUUCGGACAACAUUGACUCGGAUGGAAGCAGCAGCAACAGCGCAGAUUGUCGGUGUUUGCAGCAAAAACUCCACUAGCUGAUGAACGAUAUGCUACGGCGAAAGUAUCACAAUUUGAAACACAUCGUCCCGACAACAUUAAUUCUACAGCAGUACUUGGCGACGGCAUCCAGCGAAAACCAUCAUCAUCACUACCACCGACAGCAGUCCACUAAUCCUUCCAUCGAAGGAUCGGAGGGAAAGCGAUAUGUGUCCCAUUUGUGACACAAUUUCCUCCACAAAUCACGACUUUACGGAGCUCAACAACAGAAAAUCCGCGUCUGAGGAUGAUGGGGAGAGUCAGUUUGCGUGGUAAAUUUGCUUCAAGCCGCUUCGUUACUGGAUCGGUACAUGCUGCCUCCGCUCGAAUUUAGAGCGUCACAUCAAGCAGAAACAUCCUUAAUUCUGGUCGUAUUGUCAGCGCGGAGGCAGAGAUCCAAAUCCAUCGUCGACAUGGCAGAAAAAAAUCGUAUAAAGCCUAGCGCCAAACCGAGUCAACUGCCCCUACCGGCAUGUUCCCCUCGGACAACAACAUCAGCAUAGGAUCAGAAAACAACAGUCCACUGGAGAAAACUGCUAUCUCUUCGAAGGUGUUGCCCAUGACAGAUUCCACCGUGAAGAAGUAUUUUUCUGAUAUCGAACUCUAGGGGGGAGGGUAUUGGAAAAUCGAAAAUAAUCACAUCCAAUGUGCAGUGGUUCAAAGCUAACAUGUGGAUGAGUGGAGAAUUCUAUCAAAUUUAAAGAACAAGUACUAUCAAUUUUGAUCUACAAUGGUCAAUCCGCAUGUGACUGAACUGGAAGAUUUUUUUCACUAUGCAGCUUCCAUUGGGAUUUCCAGUAAAAAUAGAAAUAACGCUGUUCCAUGUGUUGAACGCGGUUGUCAUAUUUAGCAACGUAUUCGAAUAAGAGACAUCCGUGACCAAUGUGAGCAACAUCAAAGAAAGCGAAGAGCGUACGGCAUGCAUUAUCGAGGUUCACUGUUUCGAUGUCCCGUUCGAGUACGUACGACGGGGAGUCGAUUUCCGGCGUCAAAUCAUCUUCCAAGAUGAGAACGAAUUGAUGCAAUUUGCGAUCCAGCAAAAUUUCGCGACUGUCCGAAAAGGCACACUUUUGAGUACUGUGAUACCCAACUCGCUCGCUAAAAGCAUGCAUGCUUUUCAAUAUUUUAUAAAAAUAAGAAUAGAAUAAGAAUAUUAAUAAAAAUUAAAAUAUUUUAAAUAAAAAUUAUA